RNAcentral lists this small RNA (1006 nucleotides) under Pongo abelii (Sumatran orangutan). RNAcentral describes it as "retained intron". The record is from RNAcentral. Lineage: Eukaryota; Metazoa; Chordata; Mammalia; Primates; Hominidae.
GACUUCCGGUUGUCAAGCUCCCGGCCGGGCUGACUCAAGCGGAGGUGCGCGGAACGGUCGCCGCGGCGAUUCCCGCCCAGGCUCCUGUGACCACCAGGCAGCGGCCCUGCCAUGUCCCAGCCCCGGACCCCAGAGCAGGCACUGGACACGCCGGGGGACUGGCCCCCAGGCAGGAGAGACGAGGACGCCGGGGAGGGGAUCCAGUGCUCCCAACGCAUGCUCAGCUUCAGUGACGCCCUGCUGUCCAUCAUCGCCACUGUCAUGAUCCUGCCUGUGACCCACACGGAGAUCUCCCCAGAACAGCAGUUGGACAGAAGUGUACAGAGGCUUCUGGCGACACGGAUCGCCGUCUACCUGAUGACCUUUCUCAUCGUGACGGUGGCCUGGGCGGCGCACACACGGUUGUUCCAAGUUGUUGGGAAAACAGACGACACACUUGCCCUGCUCAACCUGGCCUGCAUGAUGACCAUCACCUUCCUGCCUUACACGUUUUCCUUAAUGGUGACCUUCCCUGAUGUGCCUCUGGGUAUCUUCUUGUUCUGUGUGUGUGUGAUCGCCAUCGGGGUCGUGCAGGCACUGAUUGUGGGGUACGCAUUCCACUUCCCGCACCUGCUGAGCCCGCAGAUCCAGCGCUCUGCCCACAGGGGUCUGUACCGACGACACGUCCUGGGCAUCGUCCUCCAAGGCCCAGCCCUGUGCUUUGCAGCGGCCAUCUUCUCUCUCUUCUUUGUCCCCUUGUCUUACCUGCUGAUGGUGACUGUCAUCCUCCUCCCCUAUGUCAGCAAGGUCACCGGCUGGUGCAGAGACAGGCUCCUGGGCCACAGGGAGCCCUCGGCUCACCCAGUGGAAGUCUUCUCAUUUGACCUCCACGAGCCACUCAGCAAGGAGCGCGUGGAAGCCUUCAGCGACGGAGUCUACGCCAUCGUGGCCACGCUUCUCAUCCUGGACAUCUGGUGAGGACCCCGCGUCACCUGCCCCAGCUAUCAGGUGGCCAGUGUGUCUGAGU